UUGGAAUGGGCGCAGCUGAUCAGCCAUGCCGCGUGCAGGAUGACGGCCCUAUGGAUUGUAAACUGCUUUUAUACAGGAAAAAACACUCGGACGUGUCCAAGCUUGACGGUACUGUAGGAAUAAGGAUCGGCUAACUCCGUGCCAGCAGCCGCGGUAAUACGGAGGAUCCAAGCGUUAUCCGGAUUCAUUGGGUUUAAAGGGUCCGUAGGCGGAUUAAUAAGUCAGUGGUGAAAUCCCUACGCUUAACUUAGGAACGGCCAUUGAUACUGUUAGGCUUGAAUUAUUAGGAAGUAACUAGAAUAUGUAGUGUAGCGGUGAAAUGCUUAGAGAUUACUUGGAAUACCAAUUGCGAAGGCAGGUUACUACUAAUGGAUUGACGCUGAUGGACGAAAGCGUGGGUAGCGAACAGGAUUAGAUACCCUGGUAGUCCACGCCGUAAACGAUGGAUACUAGCUGUUGGGCGCAAGUUCAGUGACUAAGCGAAAGUGAUAAGUAUCCCCCCUGGGGAGUACGUUCGCAAGAAUGAAACUCAAAGGAAAUUGACGGGG
Molecule: ribosomal RNA, 548 nt
Filed under: uncultured bacterium
Lineage: Bacteria
Description: bacterial SSU rRNA
Rfam family: Bacterial small subunit ribosomal RNA
Source: RNAcentral